This is a long non-coding RNA of Sander lucioperca (pikeperch), 144 nucleotides long. RefSeq lists it as uncharacterized. NCBI's taxonomy places the organism in Eukaryota, Metazoa, Chordata, Actinopteri, Perciformes, Percidae. The transcript is spliced from 3 exons. The record is from RefSeq and is a predicted model, not a curated record.
AAUGGAGGAAGAGAGAAGAGCACGAAAGGCUCUGACACACCAACCCAACGGCCGACCGUCAGCAGAAAAGGCAGACGGACUGAUCAUUCGGCUCCCGUCGGUCCAAAAAGCGACACCAAAGCGAUGCCGAUUUGAGUGUAUGUU